Molecule: ribosomal RNA, 449 nt
Filed under: uncultured bacterium
Lineage: Bacteria
Description: bacterial SSU rRNA
Rfam family: Bacterial small subunit ribosomal RNA
Source: RNAcentral
UUCCAGACUCCUACGGGAGGCAGCAGUGGGGAAUAUUGGGCAAUGGGCGCAAGCCUGACCCAGCAACGCCGCGUGAAGGAAGAAGGCUUUCGGGUUGUAAACUUCUUUUCUCAGGGACGAAGAAAGUGACGGUACCUGAGGAAUAAGCCACGGCUAACUACGUGCCAGCAGCCGCGGUAAUACGUAGGUGGCAAGCGUUAUCCGGAUUUACUGGGUGUAAAGGGCGUGUAGGCGGGAGUGCAAGUCAGAUGUGAAAACCACGGGCUCAACCUGUGGCCUGCAUUUGAAACUGUUUUUCUUGAGUACCAGAGAGGUCAUCGGAAUUCCUUGUGUAGCGGUGAAAUGCGUAGAUAUAAGGAAGAACACCAGUGGCGAAGGCGGAUGACUGGACGGCAACUGACGGUGAGGCGCGAAAGCGUGGGGAGCAAACAGGAUUAGAUACCCCAGUA